RNAcentral lists this long non-coding RNA (243 nucleotides) under Lathyrus oleraceus (garden pea). Its description in RNAcentral is "Pisum sativum (pea) long non-coding RNA (PSAT_LNC035133)". The record is from RNAcentral. Lineage: Eukaryota; Viridiplantae; Streptophyta; Magnoliopsida; Fabales; Fabaceae.
GUGGUUUCAACAUGUUUUGGUGUUUCAGAAAGCUUAAAGGAUGUUGGGUGAAGGUUUUUGGGUGGUUAAGUGAAGUUGAAAUGCCUUGAAACUCAGAACCCGACACUCCAUUUUGAAGGAGGAAAGUUGGAUUUGCAAUAGGGGUUUCUUGACUUUGGAAGCUUGGUUUUUUCAUGGAACAUCUUCCCCUAUUUAUAGGGAAGGUGUUGGAGUGCUCUGGAGAGAGAAAGGAAGAGGUUUCUU